AUAUUACCUCAUUGUUGAUAAAUAAAGCAAAUUGGCUGUUAAUUUUAUGAUGAAUCAAAAGUGUUGUGGUUGUGGAAGCAUACAAAAAUGGUGUGAUUUUACGAGAGAUUGCUCAUUAUGGUCGGUCGCCACUGAAUGUUUUAAUAUCGCUGAUGGAAAUGAAAGUAGCAGAAUGAUACGCAGAACGUGUAACAUUCGUGUAUUGAAUCAUGUCAGCAACAACGACACCAGCAAUGAUUCUAGCGGUGCGUCUACAUCACAAAUGCCAGAUCGUUCUACAUCACGUUCCACACCAGGUUCUUCUACAUUAAACACACAGUUUUCGCGAAUGAACGUGAUUAGCUAAACAAAUAUCAACCAUCAAAGGUAAAAUCUAUAAGCUCAAAUAGAUUGAUAUAAACUGAUUCACUAUAACAUGACAUUGAAUUGCAUGGAACUGUUGUAUCGCUGUAUCGAUGACAUUGAAUG
Molecule: long non-coding RNA, 468 nt
Organism: Bradysia coprophila
Lineage: Eukaryota; Metazoa; Arthropoda; Insecta; Diptera; Sciaridae
Source: RefSeq, a predicted model, not a curated record